This 429-nucleotide ribosomal RNA is filed under the name uncultured bacterium. Its description in RNAcentral is "bacterial SSU rRNA". It matches the Rfam family "Bacterial small subunit ribosomal RNA", at positions 29 to 437 of the family's 1533-position model. The record is from RNAcentral.
AAUGAACGCUGGCGGCGUGCUUAACACAUGCAAGUCGAACGAGAAAGCCUUGGCUUGCCAGGGCGAGUAAAGUGGCGCACGGGUGAGUAACGCGUGGGUAAUCUACCCUUGAAUCGGGGAUAACCCUUCGAAAGGGGGGCUAAGACCGGAUGAUAUCGGAUUUACUUAGGUGGAUUCGAUCAAAUAUGGCCUCUACAUGUAAGCUAUAGUUUGGGGAUGAGCCCGCGUACCAUUAGCUAGUUGGUAGGGUAACGGCCUACCAAGGCAACGAUGGUUAGCUGGUCUGAGAGGAUGAUCAGCCACACUGGAACUGACACACGGUCCAGACUCCUACGGGAGGCAGCAGUGAGGAAUUUUGCGCAAUGGGGGCAACCCUGACGCAGCAACGCCGCGUGAGUGAUGAAGGCUUUCGGGUCGUAAAGCUCUGUC